AGCCACCCUUGUAUCCCCUUCGUCUCUCAAAAUUCUCUCAACUACCUGUAAAACCCUAACCUCUUUCACCGGUCUCCGACCUUAUUUCACCGGAAACUAUGGCUUCUCAAAUCCUGAGUAGCCUGUACCUACCCCCAUAUACCUCUAUGCUCCUUUUGCUCGAGGUUUCAUAGUAUGAUCUUGAAGACCUUGACUCAGAAUCUUUUCGAUUCAAGUUCUAUGGCACUUUCCGGCUCAUCUUCGGCGAGUCCUAGCUCUGUGAGUCCAUCUCCGACUCACGACCAGCCUGUUCCAGG
This 296-nucleotide long non-coding RNA is filed under the name Nicotiana benthamiana. RNAcentral's name for it is "long non-coding RNA (NBEN_LNC015586)". Lineage: Eukaryota; Viridiplantae; Streptophyta; Magnoliopsida; Solanales; Solanaceae. The record is from RNAcentral.